AGUCACUGACAUUAGAUACCCGUGUAGUCCAGGGUGUAAACGCUGCAGACUUGGUGUUGGGGGCCCUUUGGGGGCAUUCAGUGCCGGAGAGAAGUUGUUAAGUCUGCUACUUGGGGAGUACGUCCGCAAGGAUGAAACUUAAAGGAAUUGGCGGGGGAGCACCGCAACGGGAGGAGCGUGCGGUUUAAUUGGAUUCAACACCGUAAACUCACCAGGGAAGACUGUUACAUGAAGGCCGAGAUGAAGACUCUGCUAGAUUUUCAG
Molecule: ribosomal RNA, 264 nt
Filed under: uncultured archaeon
Lineage: Archaea
Description: partial 16S ribosomal RNA
Rfam family: Archaeal small subunit ribosomal RNA
Source: RNAcentral